CGGAGGAUCCAAGCGUUACCCGGAUUUAUUGGGUUUAAAGGGUGCGUAGGCGGCCUAUUAAGUCAGGGGUGAAAGACGGUAGCUUAACUAUCGCAGUGCCUUUGAUACUGAUGGGCUUGAAUGGACUAGAGGUAGGCGGAAUGUGACAAGUAGCGGUGAAAUGCAUAGAUAUGUCACAGAACACCAAUUGCGAAGGCAGCUUACUAUAGUUUAAUUGACGCUGAGGCACGAAAGCGUGGGGAUCAAACAGGAUUAGAUACCCUGGUAGUCCACGCCCUAAACGAUGAACACUCGAUGUUAGCGAUAUACAGUUAGCGUCUAAGCGAAAGCGUUAAGUGUUCCACCUGGGGAGUACGCCCGCAAGGGUG
Molecule: ribosomal RNA, 368 nt
Filed under: uncultured organism
Description: bacterial SSU rRNA
Rfam family: Bacterial small subunit ribosomal RNA
Source: RNAcentral